Molecule: long non-coding RNA, 353 nt
Organism: Dermacentor silvarum
Lineage: Eukaryota; Metazoa; Arthropoda; Arachnida; Ixodida; Ixodidae
Exons: 3
Source: RefSeq, a predicted model, not a curated record
GCGGAGAUCUGUGAUGAAGCUUACUAUUUCCUUUGCCACGUUAUGCACACUUUGUCUUGUACUUGUGGAAGGUGAGGUAAAACGAAAUGAAGAAUGCUACUUGCCCUAUGGCGAAGCUGGAUGCGCUGGAGUAAAGUCCAUGUGGUAUUUUGACUACAAUAGAAGUAUAUGUAUGGCGUUUAAGGAUGGUGUCUGCGGAUCUACGAACAACAGCUUUCUAACGUGUGAAGCUUGCAAAAGUGCAUGCAAAGUUGAUGCAUGCGCCAAAAAACUUCUCACAAUCUGGGAGAAGCUGUUCGGGUGAAGCACAUACAUAUACGAGACAAUAUUGAAUAUAACUGUGAAAUAUAUUG